This 694-nucleotide ribosomal RNA is filed under the name uncultured bacterium. Its description in RNAcentral is "bacterial SSU rRNA". It matches the Rfam family "Bacterial small subunit ribosomal RNA", at positions 111 to 823 of the family's 1533-position model. The record is from RNAcentral.
UAACGCGUGGGUAACCUGCCUUGUACUGGGGGACAACAGUUGGAAACGACUGCUAAUACCGCAUAAGCGCACAGCUUCGCAUGAAGCAGUGUGAAAAACUCCGGUGGUACAAGAUGGACCCGCGUCUGAUUAGCUGGUUGGUGAGGUAACGGCCCACCAAGGCGACGAUCAGUAGCCGGCCUGAGAGGGUGAACGGCCACAUUGGGACUGAGACACGGCCCAAACUCCUACGGGAGGCAGCAGUGGGGAAUAUUGCACAAUGGGGGAAACCCUGAUGCAGCAACGCCGCGUGAGUGAAGAAGUAUUUCGGUAUGUAAAGCUCUAUCAGCAGGAAAGAAAAUGACGGUACCUGACUAAGAAGCCCCGGCUAACUACGUGCCAGCAGCCGCGGUAAUACGUAGGGGGCAAGCGUUAUCCGGAUUUACUGGGUGUAAAGGGAGCGUAGACGGUUUUGCAAGUCUGAAGUGAAAGCCCGGGGCUUAACCCCGGGACUGCUUUGGAAACUGUAGGACUAGAGUGCAGGAGAGGUAAGUGGAAUUCCUAGUGUAGCGGUGAAAUGCGUAGAUAUUAGGAGGAACACCAGUGGCGAAGGCGGCUUACUGGACUGUAACUGACGUUGAGGCUCGAAAGCGUGGGGAGCAAACAGGAUUAGAUACCCUGGUAGUCUACGCCGUAAACGAUGAUUACUAGGUGU